AACGAACGCUGGCGGCGUGUUUAAGACAUGCAAGUCGCACGGAGAAUAUGAAUAGCUUGCUAAUUGUAUUCUUAGUGGCGCACGGGUGAGUAACACGUGAGUUACAUGCCUCACAGAGGGGAAUAGCCCGCCGAAAGGCGGAUUAAUACCCCAUGGUCCCGCAAGGGUAAAGGCGGCUUCGGCUGUCGCUGUGAGAUUGGCUCGCGUCCUAUCAGCUUGUUGGUAAGGUAACGGCUUACCAAGGCAACGACGGGUAGCUGGUCUGAGAGGACGAUCAGCCACACUGGGACUGAGACACGGCCCAGACUCCUACGGGAGGCAGCAGUGGGGAAUCUUAGCAAUGGGGGCAACCCUGAUCUAGCCAUGCCGCGUGAGUGACGAAGGCCCUAGGGUCGU
RNAcentral lists this ribosomal RNA (396 nucleotides) under uncultured bacterium. RNAcentral's name for it is "bacterial SSU rRNA". It matches the Rfam family "Bacterial small subunit ribosomal RNA", at positions 29 to 426 of the family's 1533-position model. The record is from RNAcentral.